RNAcentral lists this ribosomal RNA (165 nucleotides) under Synchiropus kiyoae. RNAcentral's name for it is "partial 12S rRNA". The record is from RNAcentral. Lineage: Eukaryota; Metazoa; Chordata; Actinopteri; Syngnathiformes; Callionymidae.
AACCGCGGUUAUACGAGAGACCCAAACUGAUACCUGCGGCGUAAAGGGUGGUUAAAUAUAAGCUAAAAUAGGACUGAAUUAUUCCCUAGCUGUUAUACGCCACGGAUAUAAGAAAAUCAUAAACGAAAGUAGUCCUACUAGUUUGACUCCACGAAAGCUAGGGAA